UGCAGAUGAUGUGAAGAAUAUUUGCUAUCUGAUGAGCGAUGCUGACUCCCACCAAGAUCACUGAUGCA
This is a small nucleolar RNA of Gadus morhua (Atlantic cod), 68 nucleotides long. Its record names the gene SNORD24. It matches the Rfam family "Small nucleolar RNA SNORD24". From Rfam's summary of the family: U24 is a member of the C/D class of snoRNA which contain the C (UGAUGA) and D (CUGA) box motifs. C/D box snoRNAs have been shown to act as methylation guides for a number of RNA targets. The record is from Ensembl. NCBI's taxonomy places the organism in Eukaryota, Metazoa, Chordata, Actinopteri, Gadiformes, Gadidae.